AUUGAACGCUGGCGGAAUGCUUUGCACAUGCAAGUCGAACGGCAGCACGGGGGCAACCCUGGUGGCGAGUGGCGAACGGGUGAGUAAUACAUCGGAACGUGUCCUUUCGUGGGGGGUAACCAGUCGAAAGACUGGCUAAUACCGCAUGAGAUCUCACGAUGAAAGCGAGGGACCGCAAGGCCUCGCGCGAUUGGAGCGGCCGAUGUCGGAUUAGCUAGUUGGCGGGGUAAAAGCCCACCAAGGCGACGAUCCGUAGCUGGUUUGAGAGAACGACCAGCCACACGGGGACUGAGACACGGCCCAGACGCCUGCGGGAGGCAGCAGUGGGGAAUUUUGGACAUUGGGCGCAAGCCUCACCCAGCCAUGCCGCGUGUGUGAAGAAGGCCGUCGGGUUGUAAAGCACUUUCGGCCGGAACGAAAUCGCCUCCGUUAAUAGCGGGGGUGGAUUACGGUACCGGAAGAAGAAGCACCGGCUAACUACGUGCCAGCCGCCGCCGUAA
RNAcentral lists this ribosomal RNA (500 nucleotides) under uncultured bacterium. RNAcentral's name for it is "partial 16S ribosomal RNA". It matches the Rfam family "Bacterial small subunit ribosomal RNA", at positions 29 to 523 of the family's 1533-position model. The record is from RNAcentral.